Molecule: signal recognition particle RNA, 257 nt
Filed under: pig gut metagenome
Description: Bacterial large signal recognition particle RNA
Rfam family: Bacterial large signal recognition particle RNA
About the family: The signal recognition particle (SRP) is a universally conserved ribonucleoprotein involved in the co-translational targeting of proteins to membranes. Archaeal SRP consists of a 7S RNA and homologues of the eukaryotic SRP19 and SRP54 proteins.
Source: RNAcentral
UGCUAGAUGGGGAGUCAGCGGUGCCCUGUAACCUGCAAUCCGCUACAGCAGGAUCGAACGCCCACCGAGGCGAUAUAUAUGGAAUGCAGCUAUAAAUAAGGAGUGUUGAUCGUAAGGUCUUGUACAAUCUCACAUUGUGAACCGUGUCAGAGUUUGAUCGCAGCAGCACUAAGCAAAGGUUGGGAUGUGUUACGAGGAAGCUUUAAAGGAGCCACCUGUUUAUAUUCCGGUUCGGUAUCUAUCGUCGGAGUGGGUGC